This 482-nucleotide unclassified non-coding RNA is filed under the name Hevea brasiliensis (rubber tree). Lineage: Eukaryota; Viridiplantae; Streptophyta; Magnoliopsida; Malpighiales; Euphorbiaceae. The record is from RNAcentral.
GUGAAAAUGAAGUAGAUCUAAUUGUCCACUCCAGGCAUCUGCGGGAUGUUGUUGCCCUUGCGAUUCGAGGCUUUGCUCAACGAUUCAGUAAUACAUCUCUCAAUUCUCUCUUCAAAAUAGGGACAUAGCUAUGGUAAAGUAAUGUAAAGUGAACUGUUUAGCAAAAUAUAUACAUUUGUAGGUUCUUAGUUCAAUUAGUCAACUCUUACUCCUACAUUUAGCUCCUCUAUUUUGCUUGUCAUUAUUUUUGGUAAUUUUCAUUGUUUGCAAGAUAUGUUGUGCAGUGCUGGAAAGGCUGGAGGUGUCAAAAAUCUGUAUAUUAGUAUAUCAAUGAUGAUACUGAGUUGUCUGAGAAAUGUUUGGCCUCCAACCUUUAUUCAUGUUUCGUUAGUUGCUUAAACCUUUCCAAUUUGUUCAAUUGGGGGAGGGGGGUGGCAGAAAAGGUCUAAUCUUUGUAUACAGAACACUAAAGAAAACCAAAG